RNAcentral lists this ribosomal RNA (253 nucleotides) under uncultured bacterium. Its description in RNAcentral is "partial 16S ribosomal RNA". It matches the Rfam family "Bacterial small subunit ribosomal RNA", at positions 524 to 776 of the family's 1533-position model. The record is from RNAcentral.
UACGUAGGGUGCAAGCGUUGUCCGGAAUUAUUGGGCGUAAAGAGCUCGUAGGCGGUUUGUCGCGUCUGCUGUGAAAACGCGAGGCUCAACCUCGCGCCUGCAGUGGGUACGGGCAGACUAGAGUGCGGUAGGGGAGAUAGGAAUUCCUGGUGUAGCGGUGGAAUGCGCAGAUAUCAGGAGGAACACCGGUGGCGAAGGCGGGUCUCUGGGCAGUAACUGACGCUGAGGAGCGAAAGCGUGGGGAGCGAACAGG